RNAcentral lists this ribosomal RNA (496 nucleotides) under Bifidobacterium longum subsp. suillum. RNAcentral's name for it is "bacterial SSU rRNA". It matches the Rfam family "Bacterial small subunit ribosomal RNA", at positions 187 to 699 of the family's 1533-position model. The record is from RNAcentral. Lineage: Bacteria; Bacillati; Actinomycetota; Actinomycetes; Bifidobacteriales; Bifidobacteriaceae.
CGCAUGGUCUUCUGGGAAGCUUUCGCGGUAUGGGAUGGGGUCGCGUCCUAUCAGCUUGACGGCGGGGUAACGGCCCACCGUGGCUUCGACGGGUAGCCGGCCUGAGAGGGCGACCGGCCACAUUGGGACUGAGAUACGGCCCAGACUCCUACGGGAGGCAGCAGUGGGGAAUAUUGCACAAUGGGCGCAAGCCUGAUGCAGCGACGCCGCGUGAGGGAUGGAGGCCUUCGGGUUGUAAACCUCUUUUAUCGGGGAGCAAGCGAGAGUGAGUUUACCCGUUGAAUAAGCACCGGCUAACUACGUGCCAGCAGCCGCGGUAAUACGUAGGGUGCAAGCGUUAUCCGGAAUUAUUGGGCGUAAAGGGCUCGUAGGCGGUUCGUCGCGUCCGGUGUGAAAGUCCAUCGCUUAACGGUGGAUCCGCGCCGGGUACGGGCGGGCUUGAGUGCGGUAGGGGAGACUGGAAUUCCCGGUGUAACGGUGGAAUGUGUAGAUAUCG